GCCCUUCUAGUAUACUAAUUACAAUUGACUUCCAAUCUAUAGAAUCUGGUUUAACCCCAGAGAAGAGCA
Molecule: transfer RNA, 69 nt
Filed under: Urodynamis taitensis (longtailed cuckoo)
Lineage: Eukaryota; Metazoa; Chordata; Aves; Cuculiformes; Cuculidae
Description: tRNA-Gly
Rfam family: tRNA
About the family: Transfer RNA (tRNA) molecules are approximately 80 nucleotides in length. Their secondary structure includes four short double-helical elements and three loops (D, anti-codon, and T loops).
Source: RNAcentral